UUUGAAAGCAUCAGAAGUAACAUUUUGAGUAAACUGAGAAAAGCCAGAACACUGUGUUGUCAGAGGAACGUUCUUGAGAAAGCUUUUAUGUUUACUGUGUUCCCUUGCCUGGUCUUGUGGAAGGAGAGGCUUACGUAUCGUGUGCUGAUACAAGAAGUGGACUCUCUUCAAGUUGGCAGGGCUCUCUACCUGGUCUUGUGGAAGGAGAGGCUUACGUAUCGUGUGCUGAUACAAGAAGUGGACUCUCUUCAAGUUGGCAGGGCUCUCUACCUGGUCUUGUGUAAGGAGAAGCACGUGAAUCGUGUGUCGAUUGCCAGUGCAGGUUCNCUUCAAGUUGGUAGACCUAUCUCUUUCAUUCUAUUACUGUUUAUUAUCUUGUAAUCUGUUAAACAAUUUUUAGUGGAACUGUUAAUCACUCUUUGUAGUGAUUAACGACUGGACGUAGAUUCUGUUGAAUCGAACCAGUAUAAAAAUCCCUGUGUGAUUUUCUUUUGCC
This 496-nucleotide long non-coding RNA is filed under the name Vigna radiata. RNAcentral's name for it is "long non-coding RNA (VRAD_LNC000404)". Lineage: Eukaryota; Viridiplantae; Streptophyta; Magnoliopsida; Fabales; Fabaceae. The record is from RNAcentral.